Molecule: ribosomal RNA, 476 nt
Filed under: Salmonella enterica subsp. enterica serovar Birkenhead
Lineage: Bacteria; Pseudomonadati; Pseudomonadota; Gammaproteobacteria; Enterobacterales; Enterobacteriaceae
Description: bacterial SSU rRNA
Rfam family: Bacterial small subunit ribosomal RNA
Source: RNAcentral
AAAUUGAAGAGUUUGAUCAUGGCUCAGAUUGAACGCUGGCGGCAGGCCUAACACAUGCAAGUCGAACGGUAACAGGAAGCAGCUUGCUGCUUUGCUGACGAGUGGCGGACGGGUGAGUAAUGUCUGGGAAACUGCCUGAUGGAGGGGGAUAACUACUGGAAACGGUGGCUAAUACCGCAUAACGUCGCAAGACCAAAGAGGGGGACCUUCGGGCCUCUUGCCAUCAGAUGUGCCCAGAUGGGAUUAGCUAGUUGGUGAGGUAACGGCUCACCAAGGCGACGAUCCCUAGCUGGUCUGAGAGGAUGACCAGCCACACUGGAACUGAGACACGGUCCAGACUCCUACGGGAGGCAGCAGUGGGGAAUAUUGCACAAUGGGCGCAAGCCUGAUGCAGCCAUGCCGCGUGUAUGAAGAAGGCCUUCGGGUUGUAAAGUACUUUCAGCGGGGAGGAAGGUGUUGUGGUUAAUAACCGCAGC